AUGCACUGUUCCUCCACCGCUGUGGUCAAUGAUUUCCAAAAUCAGGCCAGCCCUUAGACCUAUACCAUGUGACUUUCUGUAAAGCAGAGGUUUGGCUUAUUACUUGGUUAGCUGAGUGGACAAAGCUCUAGUCGUUCAACCCUGAACACAGGUCUGUCUGAACACAGGCAACUGAGCAGAUAAUUUUGUAGAUUCUCUAGUUCUGUAGGAAGUGUCCAAAGUGGAUAUAACAAGCUAACUAUGUGAUCAGAUGACAGAAAGACCCUAAUUAGAAGGACACCCAUGGACCAGCACCUGUAAAAGAGAAGAAACUUGCCAAAGUGAGCAAGGGUAGAUGCCACACAUGGAAGGCAAGCAGGAAGUUCAGGAAAGGACAAGCAUCAUUUUGUGACUUGACAGUGCCUGGCUGAUGACCUGGGGUCAUGUCCAAUACAGCAGGAAUACAGGCCAUCCCACUGCCCACAAGGGCUUGCUUUGAGACAGCUGCAGGACAAUCACAUUUUUCUACUCUUGCUCCUGCAUUCCUGCACUCUUGGUCAGAGAACUGGAUCUCCCUCACUGGUGCAGCAGGACCAACGUCUCCGACCUAGAUGAUGAGCCAGCCUGCAUGGAAGAGGUUGACUACACUUCAGAUGGCAGCUCAGACCAGGAUGAGAGCAUCCUUGAGCUGGACCGGCAGAUCCAGGCAUGUGCCUUCAAUCAGGAUGAGGGAGAAGAAGAGGAGGGGACAAGGCAGAGAAGAAACACCAUCCUGUAAUCCUGAGGUUCAUAGAAACUCUGUUUCCAGUCACUGGACUCAGACACACACAGCGUGAAAUGGCCUGUGUGAGCUCCUGAUUUCAUUCUAGUUCUACUAUGCAUAGAGUCUGGUUACUUCUCGAUUAUAACAUUUUUCUACACUGCUGUACUGCCCUUGGAGCCUAUACAUGCUGCCGUUGCAAUUAGAAUGGGACUCCAUGGUAUGGGAUUACCAUGGGGCCUCUCCAGACAGCACUGAGCUCCCCUGCAUUCCUGUGCUUGAAGCUGAAGCUGGCUGGAAGCAGAGGAGUGGGCUUUCUUCCUGGUUUCUCAAUCAGAAAUCUAUAUGCCUUUAAAUUGUUCCAUAUAUGAGUGUUACAUCAACCAUAGCAUCUGAGCUUUCCAGCACCAACAUAAGCCACUGAAACUCUGAGGGUCCUGGAAGGGUCAGAAAGUAUUGGAUGAUUGAACAUAGAAGGCUGUGCAGUCAGGUAAUUGCAAAUAUCAUCCUGCAGGUCUGUAACAGUAUACAUUUUAUGGAUUUGGUAGAGGCCAGAAGCUCGGUUAGAUUCUAUGGAAUAAGACAUGAUCACUGGUCCUCGCAAAUUUCAAAACCCUACAUAUUCAGGCCAUUAAACACACUCGGGAAGACAGCGUGAUACCCUGGAAAAUGCAUUCAUUUCAGAAUCAGACAGACAAAUGAGGUUUGUAUCCUGGAUCUGGCAUUGCCUGUUAUGAAAAUGUAGGCAAGUAAUUGGAUCUCUCCAAACUUCAGAGUUUUUAUGCAUCCAGUAAGAAUGAGUGUAUGUAUACCAUGAAGUUAUCCCAAAGAUGAAAUGAGAUAUAAAAGUGUGCAGCUUGGCACAUGCUACACAAUAGUGUUGGCUUUUUCCCCUCCACAACACAAAGGUAUUAUAUGUAAGUAGUCUCACAGUUACACACAAAAAAAUGUUCUCUGGGGCCACAUGAUUGAGAAAUAUUCUUUCUCGAAGGGAUCUGGAAAGGAAGUUACAUGGAGGAAGAGCCUAGGUGAGUGAAUGGCUUGAGAGUCUGUGUGCAGAAGGAAGCAUCUCAGAAACAUGAUUGCUGAGGUUAGGGAGGUAGAUAGAAGGGGGACAAUGAUGAGGAGUAUAUUCUAAGUCAAAUACGAGUCUGUUCAAUGCCAUAUGUAUUUAAUCAGGAUUGGAUUUGGCUAUGAGAGAUGGAAAAUUCAAAAUACUAGUAGCUUUGGCAAGGUAUAAGUUUUCUUUCAUACAGAAUUUCACAUGUACAGAGGCCAGAGCUGGUACCUUGGCUGCAUUAUGUCAGAGACCCAGCUUCUAGUCCUCUAGCUCUGCCGUGUGUUGCUUCUAUUCUUGACCUAGAAUUGCUGCAAAAGCAUCAGCUUUUCUCUCUGCAUCCCAGAGAGCAGCAAAAAGAAUACCAAAAAAGAACAUGUUUCCUACUUUGGAAAAAAUCUAUGCAUGGUAUUUGUGCUUGAUCCCACCAACCAGAAAGUUGUCCAAUGACCACAGGUAACUGCAGGGGAGGUCCGAAAAUAUAGCCUUUAUCUGAGAUGGGCCCAGCUGAAAUUUAAAGUUUUAAUGCUAAGGGAAUUGGAAAUAAAAUAGUGUAUACUGGGUGAUCACGUACUUGAAAAAGAGAGUUUGCCUAGCAUACCACCACCCAAAGAGUUUUGAAGCUUUAAAAUAAUUCCAGAGAAUAUGUAUAGUGUUCGCUUGCUCUGAUCAGCAGAAAGAUACAGAGCAAAAGUUUGCCAUAGUUUAAGCAUAAGACAUAAGAGAAAAGCAUGUGUGUUGUGAUUUUGAUUUAGGGAAUUGAUAUUAUUACUUGAUAUUACUUGAUAUUAUAUUAUCUCUGCUGUUUCCUAUUCUUUUUCAGAGUUUCUGGUGUAGCUCAGAAAUUACACACCUAUCCUUCAUAUUAAGACAUUCAGAUUUCUAUGACAUACACAAGAGGUUUGAAGGAAAUAACAAAUCUGAAUUCAGAUCCCAAAGUAACAGCAUCUUUUAACUUCUCCUUUAUACAUUUUUGCCAAUUUUGAAUAGAGAAAUACAUAAUGCUCCUGGUUCUCCAUUGCUUUGAGGAGUUAUGAAAAAAAUAUUGCUGAAAUGUAAAUGCUGGAAAGGGGUGGGAACAAUACUAACUCGCUAUCAGCAAGUAAUACCUCAGCCCAAAUUAAUUUAUGAGAUUAAUUUGUGAUCAACUAGCACAGUUAUGAGAAAAAAGGGAGAAAAGCAGGUGAGUUUCAAUAUAGAAACUUCUGAAAAAAUCAGACACUUGGAACACUUAUUGAUUUAUCUAUACAACAAAGGUAUAUUAAUUGCCCACUGUGUGUCCUGCACUUUUUUAAGCUCUAAGAAUUUAGAGAAAGAAGAUUUACUAUGAACUCAAGUUACUGUAACUUGAUAAGUAAGAAUAGCAAGUAUUUUAUUUUAAGAUAGGGACAUAUAACAUUAUGGGAAUCUGAAAAUGAUAAUAUGGAAAACCCUUAAGAUUGUGGUGGCAAAAGUCUACUAGAAGAUGAAAAUGUAGAUGACAUGUUCAGAAGUUUCAGGCAGGACAUGUUAAGAAAUAGAGAAAGCUUGAAUAGAGGACCUGUGGUAAGGUUAGGACAUGGACUAAAAUGUUCAGUGUUACUAGUUUAAAGAAUAUAGUUGUAUAUUGAGAAACAAGGAAAAUAGCAAGAGAUUAAGUAGAAAAACUAGAUACUAGAUAGCAAUCAGAUGUAACAAUAUUUGCUAUGCCCUGAGGAAGGAGUUGAACUUAAUUCCCAGCGUGGUAGGGGAGAACUACAAAACUUUUCAGCAGUGGCAUGUCUAGAACUACGCACAAUACUAGCACACGUGUCAGCACCAUAGUCCCAACCUGUUCGUAGCCUAGAGUCUGGCACUCUUGCCAGGCUGGUUGUUGACUACCGUGAGGCUACUGCUGGGUGUGGCAUUUUGAUACCUGAAGAACAAUAUUUACAGCGAGGUAAAGAUUAUGGUGCCAUGCUGGUUGUUGGAGACCAACAAGCUACUGGAUUGGAAAGGACCCCUGCAAGCCAGAGGCAUGUCGGGAAAAGGAAGCAUAAGGAGAAGUAUAUACGGAUAAGCACACUCUUAUUGCCCCCUCCAUUCACACACACUACUUGUUGAGCCACACAACACCGUAAGUAUACCAAUUGCUUUUUAGAACCAUUUUUCAGGUUUCUGUUGCUUCUGCUGAGCUUCUCUUCUCCGAUUACCCUAUUUGAGGCAAUGAAAACCCGUUCAGAUUCACCUUUCUCCUUUUAUAAACACCAAAGCCAACUUACACAACCUGUCUUCUGUGCACCAUUGUAUUAUUUAUACAUCUAUUUAGCAGCACACUUUCCAGCUUCUAUACACUGUAUACCCUCACCCCAGGCAGUAGUGAGUAAUGAGCUCUAAAAUGCAUGAACCUGCUAUUAUUUUGGGAUCCCUCUUCCCACCACGCAAACUUUCUGACAUGUUGAAGGUAUUCAGGAAAAUGUGUCCCCUGCUUGACUCCCAGCUUCCAAACUAGACAUCUAAUAUCUUAAUAUCUCAUACAUUUCCUUGCCUUUCUCCAAUUUUCUAUCUUCAAUCAGAGUUUGUGUUAUAUGAAAGAAAAAUAGUUUCAUGAAAAGGGCAUCUUGCAAAGGUACAGAACCUCCCCAGCAGGCAGUUGCCAUGGAAGGCUGCUUCCAGAGUGAGGCCAGCUUAAGAAGGAUCCGGUGGCCUUGUCCUCACUGGUGUAACGCAGACACUUGGACUGAGCAGUGACAAUGGAGCAAAGGCGCCUCUAAGUUUCCCUGGUGGCUGCCGCAUUCAUCCGGGUGCUCUGGACCAUGCAGUCACUUUGGUGGGAACUGGCUGGGUGGCUCCGUGUGCCUUGUACCAACUUGACUGCUUGGGUGCUUUGCUUCUUGCAAUCCCACCAGCGAGUAUCAGCAUCCAAGGAUUCCAUCCACUGGCUCCAGGUUCUCUUAAGCCUCCAGAGAAAAGGAUUCAGAGUCAUAAAGAACAUUUGAGAUUAACCUGGUCCCUGAGCUACAAGCACACAUUGAGGGCUGCCAACACCAAUAAAGUCACAUUAAACUCCCAACCACAGGAGAAAUUCUCACAUGCAGCUUCCAUUCAUUAGCCUGGAGACUUAGCUGUAGAGUUGAUUUCAUGUUCCAAGAGAAGAGGCUUCUAUGAAAUGCCUGACAUAAGUCAUCCUUGUUAGGAAUUAGCACAGUGACCCACGUGGUGGAUCUGGACAUUUGGGUUAGCAUUAGAGUGAUGGAUUUAUUUUGCCCCGCUGGUACCCCUCACCCCUGCUCCCAAAAGCUUCCAUCUUCCAAAGAUGCAUAGACAGUAGACUGCUCCUCACCACAAGAGUUUUGGUCUAGAGCUGCUGCUAUCUGCCGAACAAGGUCCUCUUUUGUUUGUGUUGGAAUUUGGCUACAUGAAUGCCCUCUUGAUUCUUGAUUUUUAAAACGUGUUGUUUAGAUAAAAAUGAGUGGUAAAAAGGACUUUUGAAAUAAAAAUGGAUUGGAUUGCAUCUUUUCAGUGCCUAGUGAUAAAAAGAUAAUUUUGUAUGUAAUGUAAAAAGCAUCUACUUCAUACAUGCCAGCACAGUGAGGCUGAAAUUGAACUUAAACUCCCUACCACAUCUUCCUCCCCAGCACACACACAUACACACACAGAGAAAGAGUACUUAUAGGGCUUUAGGCAAGAGAAC
Molecule: long non-coding RNA, 5448 nt
Organism: Heterocephalus glaber (naked mole-rat)
Lineage: Eukaryota; Metazoa; Chordata; Mammalia; Rodentia; Bathyergidae
Source: Ensembl